AACGCGAAGAACCUUACCAAGGCUUGACAUCCCAAUGACGGGUGUAGAGAUACGCCGUCCCUUCGGGGCAUUGGAGACAGGUGGUGCAUGGUUGUCGUCAGCUCGUGUCGUGAGAUGUUGGGUUAAGUCCCGCAACGAGCGCAACCCUUAUCUUUAGUAGCCAUCGGGAAAGCCGGGCACACUAGAGAGACUGCCGUGGAUAACACGGAGGAAGGCGGGGAUGACGUCAAAUCAUCAUGCCCCUUAUGUCUUGGGCUACACACGUACUACAAUGGCUGUAAACAAAGUGAAGCAAGCAUGUGAAUGCAAGCAAAACACAGAAAAGCAGUCCCAGUUCGGAUUGCAGUCUGCAACUCGACUGCAUGAAGUUGGAAUCGCUAGUAAUCGCGGAUCAGCAUGCCGCGGUGAAUACGUUCCCGGGUCUUGUACACACCG
Molecule: ribosomal RNA, 435 nt
Filed under: uncultured bacterium
Lineage: Bacteria
Description: bacterial SSU rRNA
Rfam family: Bacterial small subunit ribosomal RNA
Source: RNAcentral